AUUGAACGCUGGCGGCAGGCCUAACACAUGCAAGUCGAGCGGAUGAAGGGAGCUUGCUCCUGGAUUCAGCGGCGGACGGGUGAGUAAUGCCUAGGAAUCUGCCUGGUAGUGGGGGAUAACGUCCGGAAACGGGCGCUAAUACCGCAUACGUCCUGAGGGAGAAAGUGGGGGAUCUUCGGACCUCACGCUAUCAGAUGAGCCUAGGUCGGAUUAGCUAGUUGGUGGGGUAAAGGCCUACCAAGGCGACGAUCCGUAACUGGUCUGAGAGGAUGAUCAGUCACACUGGAACUGAGACACGGUCCGGACUCCUACGGGAGGCAGCAGUGGGGAAUAUUGGACAAUGGGCGAAAGCCUGAUCCAGCCAUGCCGCGUGUGUGAAGAAGGUCUUCUGAUUGUAAAGCACUUUAAGUUGGGAGGAGGGGCAGUAAGUUAAUACCUUGCUGUUUUGACGUUACCAACAGAAUAAGCACCGGCUAACUUCGUG
Molecule: ribosomal RNA, 484 nt
Filed under: uncultured bacterium
Lineage: Bacteria
Description: partial 16S ribosomal RNA
Rfam family: Bacterial small subunit ribosomal RNA
Source: RNAcentral